Molecule: transfer RNA, 69 nt
Filed under: Ovis aries (sheep)
Lineage: Eukaryota; Metazoa; Chordata; Mammalia; Artiodactyla; Bovidae
Rfam family: tRNA
About the family: Transfer RNA (tRNA) molecules are approximately 80 nucleotides in length. Their secondary structure includes four short double-helical elements and three loops (D, anti-codon, and T loops).
Source: Rfam by way of RNAcentral
CCUGGUGGUUCAGACGGUAAAGAAUUUGCCUGCAAUGCAGGAGACCUGGGUUCGAUCCCUGCAUUAGGA